ACAGUCACACGAGUUGAUCAUGGCUCAGGAUGAACGCUGGCGGCGUGCCUAAUACAUGCAAGUCGAACGGUGUAUAUAAUUUAUUAUAUACAUAGUGGCGAACGGGUGAGUAACGCGUUGGUGACCUGCCCUAAAGCGGGGGACAACAGUUCGAAAGGGCUGCUAAUACCCCAUGUGGUUGUUCGGGAUUAGAAGCGGACAACUAAAGGAUAGCCCUGUGAGGGGAAAUUCGCUUUAGGAGGGGCCUGCGUCCCAUCAGCUAGUUGGUAGGGUAAAGGCCUACCAAGGCGUAGACGGGUAGGGGACCUGAGAGGGUGGCCCCCCCACAAUGGAACUGAAACACGGUCCAUACACCUACGGGUGGCAGCAGUAGGGAAUAUUGCACCAUGGACGGAAGUCUGAUGCAGCAACGCCGCGUGAGUGAUGAAGGCCUUCGGGUCGUAAACUCUUUUCAAGGGAAGAGGAAGGACGGUACCCGUUGGAAUAAGCAUCGGCUAACUACGUG
RNAcentral lists this ribosomal RNA (505 nucleotides) under uncultured bacterium. Its description in RNAcentral is "bacterial SSU rRNA". It matches the Rfam family "Bacterial small subunit ribosomal RNA", at positions 1 to 507 of the family's 1533-position model. The record is from RNAcentral.